AUCUUAAUGCUCAAGAUGACUUGGAGUUUAACUGUCAACCCCGGAAUAGUCAACCAUAUUGUGUUUCAACCUUUAAAAUUCAUCAUAUAGAUUAUCCUGACCAAAGUUUUACUGAAUUGAUGCAUUAACUCUUAUUUAUUCAGAGGGAUCAAUUCUAUCUUGACUCACAUAUCGACUUCAUAAGUACUUGACUAUAUCCAAAAAAUUUCCAUCACUGAAUUAGAAAUUCAGAUAGUCCGACACUAAAGCAUAGUGAGUUGCUUGUAAGUCACCCUGGUGAUCU
RNAcentral lists this long non-coding RNA (283 nucleotides) under Elaeis guineensis (African oil palm). RNAcentral's name for it is "long non-coding RNA (EGUI_LNC003172)". The record is from RNAcentral. Lineage: Eukaryota; Viridiplantae; Streptophyta; Magnoliopsida; Arecales; Arecaceae.